GCCAGGCGCAGUGGCGCACGCCUGUAGUCCCAGCUACUUGGGAGGCUGAGGUGGUAGGAUCGCUUGAGCCAAGGAGUUCUGGGCUGUAGUGCGCUAUGCCAAUCAGGUGUCAGCACUAAGUUCAGCAUCAAUAUGGUGACCUCCCUGGAGCAGGGGACCACCAGGUUGCCUGAGGAAGGGUGAACCUGCCCAGGUCGGAAACGGAGCAGGUCAAAACUCCCUUGCUGAUCAGUAGUGGGAUUGCGCCUGUGAAUAGCCACUGUGCUCCAGUCUGGGCAACAUAGCGAGACCCCAUCUCU
This 299-nucleotide signal recognition particle RNA is filed under the name Saimiri boliviensis boliviensis (Bolivian squirrel monkey). RNAcentral's name for it is "Metazoan signal recognition particle RNA (ENSSBOG00000015158.1)". It matches the Rfam family "Metazoan signal recognition particle RNA". Rfam says of the family: The signal recognition particle (SRP) is a universally conserved ribonucleoprotein. It is involved in the co-translational targeting of proteins to membranes. Lineage: Eukaryota; Metazoa; Chordata; Mammalia; Primates; Cebidae. The record is from RNAcentral.